GUUGUAUUAUUUUCAACCUUUUAGUGGUCACUGUCAAUAGUAGGGACUCCCAGCGCCUAGUAUUUGAUAAGUUUCCAGGAUUGGGCAUUUUAAUCAAGAGAUAAAAGGCUGUUUUUGCAUAUUGCUCUUUUAUUUGGUAUACCGCAUUGACUUUUAUAUUGAAACAUUUACUUCAAUAUUCAUUUGCCAUAAUUUUCUUUUAGAAAUCAUUUGUGAUUAUAUGAAAUAAUAUUAGCUUUUACCUUAUUGGAAAUUGAUAACAUACAAUUUAAAGUUCACCAGGCCCAAGGUCACGUUGAUUUUGCCGACACAUAAUAAUCUGCUUUCAGAGUUAUAAGCAAAAUCACUCAGUUCACAAUUCCAAUUGGAUGGCAUCCCAAGGGCUUAGAUUCAAGAAAAAAAUGUAUUAUUGGGAGUCCCCAAUUUAGUACGUUAUCAAGUGAAUCAGGGCUUGUUUCUCUAAUCAGUCUUGACCAAAACUUCUUUUUUUUGGCUGAGGAAGAAAAGCAAUCAGAAUUAGGAUUUAGAGAUUCUGAGAGCAAAGCCUUCUGGCUUCCAGUAGGUACCUUUGUUAUUCAGCCUUCUUAGAAAGGUUUCCAGCCUGUCCAACUUCAGGUCCGAUUCUAACUGCAUAUCUGGUCUGGCUUCGAUAUCUAGGCAAGCAGAAACCGUCAGUGAGACAGCAUCACUAAGGCCUCUUCUGAUCAGAAACUGCUUGGCGUGGCCGGGGCCUUGGCGACUUACCUUCCAGGGGUUUGGAAACGGGUGUGGUGCCUCUUGUUUUACCGCAAAUGGGUGAGGCUACUGGGGUUAUGGCAGUAGGUGACGCCAAACCUGUGGAACACACAGACGAGCUACUGAGCAUCUCAGGGUCACUUCUGGAAAUCUCCGGGACCCUGGUGGAUCUCCAGAAAUCCCAGGGUAGACGGCACAACAUAUAAGAAUUUACACACAUGCAGGCACACACACACACAUUUCACACGUACCACGACUGUGGGACAACCAACUGCAAACGUAGACUGGAUUUUAUUAUUUCCAAGGACUGUAGUGGCUGACAAGCCGAUAUUCCAAAAUGAACGGUGGAGACGUGGGAAAACAUGUCCAUGACACGUUAACUUGGGCAAAUGCAGCUGUGAGUUCUGAGGCCCUUCGGAGAUGGCAGGGGCAGCUGAGAGUGCAUUGGUGCCAUCUGCAGAAUGAGCUGUGUCACACUUGCCAGCAAGUGGCCCCCCGCAGUGGAGCUCUCCUCCAGGCUGAGGGGAGGGAGGGACAGUGGCCCUGGGGACAUGACACAGACAGUAACCCAAGGAGGGCCAACCUUUCAGAAGAAAUUACAGACCAGGGCAGGUCUGGACCGACUG
This 1361-nucleotide long non-coding RNA is filed under the name Homo sapiens (human). RNAcentral describes it as "HSALNT0160651". The record is from RNAcentral. Lineage: Eukaryota; Metazoa; Chordata; Mammalia; Primates; Hominidae.